RNAcentral lists this ribosomal RNA (514 nucleotides) under Clostridioides difficile. RNAcentral's name for it is "bacterial SSU rRNA". It matches the Rfam family "Bacterial small subunit ribosomal RNA", at positions 284 to 816 of the family's 1533-position model. Lineage: Bacteria; Bacillati; Bacillota; Clostridia; Peptostreptococcales; Peptostreptococcaceae. The record is from RNAcentral.
UAGCCGACCUGAGAGGGUGAUCGGCCACAUUGGAACUGAGACACGGUCCAAACUCCUACGGGAGGCAGCAGUGGGGAAUAUUGCACAAUGGGCGAAAGCCUGAUGCAGCAACGCCGCGUGAGUGAUGAAGGCCUUCGGGUCGUAAAACUCUGUCCUCAAGGAAGAUAAUGACGGUACUUGAGGAGGAAGCCCCGGCUAACUACGUGCCAGCAGCCGCGGUAAUACGUAGGGGGCUAGCGUUAUCCGGAUUUACUGGGCGUAAAGGGUGCGUAGGCGGUCUUUCAAGUCAGGAGUGAAAGGCUACGGCUCAACCGUAGUAAGCUCUUGAAACUGGGAGACUUGAGUGCAGGAGAGGAGAGUGGAAUUCCUAGUGUAGCGGUGAAAUGCGUAGAUAUUAGGAGGAACACCAGUUGCGAAGGCGGCUCUCUGGACUGUAACUGACGCUGAGGCACGAAAGCGUGGGGAGCAAACAGGAUUAGAUACCCUGGUAGUCCACGCUGUAAACGAUGAGUAC